This 497-nucleotide ribosomal RNA is filed under the name uncultured bacterium. RNAcentral's name for it is "partial 16S ribosomal RNA". It matches the Rfam family "Bacterial small subunit ribosomal RNA", at positions 28 to 507 of the family's 1533-position model. The record is from RNAcentral.
GAUGAACGCUGGCGGCGUGCCUAAUACAUGCAAGUCGAGCGAACGGACGAGAAGCUUGCUUCUCUGAUGUUAGCGGCGGACGGGUGAGUAACACGUGGAUAACCUACCUAUAAGACUGGGAUAACUUCGGGAAACCGGAGCUAAUACCGGAUGAUAUUUUGAACCGCAUGGUUCAAAAGUGAAAGACGGUCUUGCUGUCACUUAUAGAUGGAUCCGCGCUGCAUUAGCUAGUUGGUAAGGUAACGGCUUACCAAGGCAACGAUGCAUAGCCGACCUGAGAGGGUGAUCGGCCACACUGGAACUGAGACACGGUCCAGACUCCUACGGGAGGCAGCAGUAGGGAAUCUUCCGCAAUGGGCGAAAGCCUGACGGAGCAACGCCGCGUGAGUUAUGAAGGUCUUCCGAUCCUAAAACUCUGUUAUUAGGGAAGAACAUAUGUGUAAGUAACUGUGCACAUCUUGACGGUACCUAAUCAGAAAGCCACGGCUAACUACGUG